CUCCCCCAAUCCCCGCUUCCUCUCAGGAUCGACCCCGAGCCUCCACCGCGCCUCCUCCUCCGCCACCCCGAGCAGCUGCCGUCCCACCGUCCCGCCUCUCCUCCUCGACCUACGCAGCUCCGGCGUGUUGCUCCGCCGCCGUGGCGCCUCCUGUGCGAUUCCGAGCAGCCGCCGUCGCGCCUCUCACCCUCAAUCUACCCUGCGCCGGAGUUGGAGGAGCAGCAAGGGGCGGCGCUGGGACGGAGGUGGAGGAGCACGGAUUCGGCGCCAGCAGACUCCUCUACGAGUAAGGUCCUCCUCUUCCUUCUUUCUGUCCUCCACGGAUCGGGGCACACAUGAGAUGGCGCGGUCUGCGUGACUCCAUGAGAUCCAUGGAUGGCGGUUCUUCGGCCGGCGCGGGGAUGCGCGAUGGCUGCCGGUGCUCGAGAUCUGGCGGAUGGAGGGCUGCAGCGGCGGCGGGAUCGAGCUCUGGUCUCCAGCUUGCCCAUCCCCCACGUUUCCCUCUCCUCCUCCUCUCUGCUGUUGGCCACGCUGGCCAUGGCCCUCAAAUCCGACGCCUGCAUCUGCGAUGCUAGCAGCAGAUCUGGUUGGGAAAGCGUAAGGAGAUAAACAGCGAGAGAUUGUCUUAGCACACGGAUUCAUGAGUGCUGCAAAUUUAUAUAUAGUGCUUUGUACUGAUGUUUAAAGUUUAUUUAUACAAGUAUUGGAAAGAGGAAUACAAUAUUGCAUUUCUAAAGAAAUCAUCAUGUAGAUAUGUUUUUGUACUUUACUCAGCGAAAAUUGCAGCCAGUUAUUUUGAUAAUAUAUCUCAGUUUGUGUGUCCUUACUAUUCCUUAUUUAUGAAUUUGAGAAGAUUAAUUUCCACCUAUUGGUGCUGAAGGUCAAGCUGCUCACUUUCUUCUUGGAUGUGGACCAGUCUCCUCUGGUAUAGCAGAUCUCACAAAGGAUCUUCAUCAUCGGGACAACUCCAUGUUCCAGUCAGAAGGUUCACUGUCGCGACCUUGCAUAUUUGUUCUCGGUUUUGCGGUGUGCUGAGAAUAGGAAGGCUGAGUUCAUCAAUUCUACUAUGGAUUCUGCUCUAUAUGCGUGUUUCUUUCUAAUAAUUCAUCACUUGUGCGGGAUUCUAAUGGUUGUGCUGGGUGUUUGUAACGGUGAGGUUGAGCAUAUCGAUUUGUAUAAUGCACAGACCGCGAAUAAUGGUGUUGUGGUGACUGAUACACUCACACAGUUUCCUGAAGUUGGCCACUUUUGGCAUAUGUGAUAAUAUGCAUAUUUGUCAGUGUUCAUGGUACUACCUCCCUAUCACUCACACACCUAGAUAUUUUCUUGCCAGCUAUAACCUAAAUUAAGGUUUGACACUUUCUUUUAACUGCAGGUCUUAAUAUAUAUUUUAGACUACCAUUUAACCCUUAUUGUAAAUUUUACCCACAUUUUUUAACCAACGCUUCUAAACCCAUUUAAUGGUUCUCGUUUUAUGUGUUGGCCUAAUUACCCGACUUCAAAAUGUUCAGAGGUUGUCCUACUUCAGGGUAGUGAGCUGCAGCAUGUUGACGCUCAGAUGGCGCUGGAGGUUAUUCAGGCACCAUCCACAAAUUAAGUAAGCUAGAGCUCUCUUCACCGUAAUUUUGUCAAGGGGUCCACAAUGAAAUGGACAAUUACGCCAAGAUAGGCACAUAAGAAGAUCCUCAAGAUCGGCGAUGGCGAUCGCGACGGUGCAUCGACGAGCUUGAUGAGAUGGCGCAUUGACAAGCAAAAAGGCAUGGGGAUUCCCGCUGUUCGUGAGGGGUUGCGUGAUGCGGCUAGGGGGCGGCGGAGGUCCACACAUCAGACGUAUCCAGGUUGUGCGCACAGAUGAUGUUGAGGCUCCGUGACCUCCACAACCCGAGCAAGGUUAGCAGCGGUUCGCCACUUCAGCUGUUACUCUACUCCAUCCACUAAAUUUUCUUCAGUUCAAUAUAUGCAUAUAUAUGGUGAUGAUUUUAGUGGGCCACAAGGUGUUGGCAAUUGUUGGGUUCUGUAUUUUACAAAAUAUCAGCAUCUUGUUUAAUCUUCAGUUGCGGUGCUUUCAUGUUAUCAUGAAUUGUGGGCAAACUAUUUAUUCAAUACGCUUUGUUAUUGAUUCCUUGCCCCUUGCUUGCGGUGCUUUUCUUUCAUUUUUGUGUGUUCCUUCUUGCAUCCAGCUUGACUGUUUACUCUGAAAGGAGCAGUUCGUGGAGUGGGUGAGAGUUGCUUAAUGUGUAGGUGGGUAGAAUAUUAGUUUCAUGGUCUACUUUACAAGAGAAAGCAAGUAGAAUAUUAUGUAGGAGUUGCUUCAUAUUUACUGUCUCUAUUUUUUCGUACCAUUUUGCGGUAGGAUUGCAUACAGAGGCAUUAAUAUAUUUUAUUACAUUCUCUUUUCAGAAAAACUGCACUAACAUCCUUAUGCUUUUAGUCAGACAUACCUUUUAUUGUGGCUCAAGGGUUUAAGAUUGUUAUUAGAUAAAAUUUUACAACUAACUUGACAUUUAAAUGGUGCGAAAUUACAGAGGGGGUGGACUUUGAUGUCAGUAUGACACACUAUACUUAUUGUACUCCAUAAAUAUUUUCAGCAGAGAAAUAGAAUCCUACAAGAUCAACAUGUUUUCAGUAUUUGCCUCUAAUGAUUAAAUUAUCUCUUUUCCGUGUUCGAAUUAGUUAUUCCGUUGUGUUUCCAUUUUCCAUGUUGGCUAACAUUUUCCAUGUUGGCUAACUAUAAUAAUAAAUAAAAUUUCAGAGUAGUGGAUUUUUAUGUGCCAUUUGGUGUUAGCCUCCCUAAUUCUCUUAUGGAUUUCUCUUCGGCAGGCUGCUACAGAGGGGGUGGACUUUGAUGUCAGUAUGCUACAAAGGAUGUUGAA
Molecule: non-coding RNA, 2873 nt
Organism: Lolium perenne
Lineage: Eukaryota; Viridiplantae; Streptophyta; Magnoliopsida; Poales; Poaceae
Source: RefSeq, a predicted model, not a curated record